AGGUGGCUGUCUACAAGCCAGGAAGAGAGCCCUCUGUAACAACUGAAUAAGCUAUCACCUUGAUCACAGGCUUCCAGCUUCCAAAACUAGAUGGUUCUUGCCAUGUUGUGCUGGCUGGACUCGAACUCCUGGAUUCAAGCAAUCCUCCUGCGGACUCAGAUGAUCCUUCUGCCUCAGCUUCCUGAGUAGCUGGGGUAAAGCUUAUAAAGUAAAAACUUUGAUAUCCCCAGCAGAAUCAUAACUUUUCACAGAGGCAUCUAAUUUCUUAACCUUAAAGCAGAAGAGAAACGUCUUUCAAAUUUUCCUAUGACGGUCAAGGAGUGGGGGUUGUGGAAUGUAUAUACUUAGAUGAAUUAAACUCAGACCUUCUCCGGUUGGAUGUUUGAGCCGCCCAGACAAAGAUGAAGAUUAACACAGUUUAAGGAUGAAAUAUAGACCAUCCUGUGCAAAACCACCGUGUUGCAGUUUAAUUAAAAGAAUUCAUUAAAGUGGUGCCCCAUCCAGGGUAA
RNAcentral lists this long non-coding RNA (509 nucleotides) under Homo sapiens (human). Its description in RNAcentral is "HSALNT0381547". The record is from RNAcentral. Lineage: Eukaryota; Metazoa; Chordata; Mammalia; Primates; Hominidae.